AAGUGUAAAGAUAAAAACACAGUUCCGGUUGGUAGUCCGGACGUAGCAAAUGCUAUCAGUAACCUGCCUCCUUUGGUUGUCCCUUCUUUACUAAGUAAAU
Molecule: non-coding RNA, 100 nt
Filed under: Cellulosilyticum lentocellum
Lineage: Bacteria; Bacillati; Bacillota; Clostridia; Lachnospirales; Cellulosilyticaceae
Also listed under: 1 other name
Description: Clostridium lentocellum Azaaromatic sequence
Rfam family: azaaromatic riboswitch aptamer (yjdF RNA)
Source: RNAcentral